UACGUAGGGUGCAAGCGUUAUUCGGAAUUACUGGGCGUAAAGCGUGCGUAGGCGGUGAUGUAAGACAGAUGUGAAAUCCCCGGGCUCAACCUGGGAACUGCAUUUGUGACUGCAUCGCUGGAGUGCGGCAGAGGGGGAUGGAAUUCCGCGUGUAGCAGUGAAAUGCGUAGAUAUGCGGAGGAACACCGAUGGCGAAGGCAAUCCCCUGGGCCUGCACUGACGCUCAUGCACGAAAGCGUGGGGAGCAAACAGG
RNAcentral lists this ribosomal RNA (253 nucleotides) under uncultured bacterium. Its description in RNAcentral is "partial 16S ribosomal RNA". It matches the Rfam family "Bacterial small subunit ribosomal RNA", at positions 524 to 776 of the family's 1533-position model. The record is from RNAcentral.